CAGAUUUGUAAAAAAUAAAACCUUUUUUUGGUGUAGAUAACAUUUACCAGACAGAAUGAAGAAAUGAACGGCUAAUUCAAUUGUUUUGUUUUCAUUUUAGUAACAUCUUUCAUGGUAAAUACAUGGAUCUUAUUAACGAAAUAAAACAUUUAAAUACUUAACUUGCUCUAAAAUAACUUGACAGAGUCACACUCGUAAAACAUGUGUAUAAUAGCUUCCCCUUCUUUAUCACAGAAAAUGCAUCAUUAUGUUCUCUAAGUCCAUGAAUUUAGACAAGUUAUUGCAAGGGUAUAUUUUGAACAAGAUUUUAAAGGGAGCAACCAAGCUUUCUUCCAUUCAAUUUCAGUAGAUCUAUGAAUUCCAGAAGAAUUUCCCUCUAUGAGGGAUCUUGUUCAUGGAGUUCAAGUUAUCUUAAGAAUGUAUUACAUUUCUUAUCCAGCAGGGGGCAACCUUUUAACAUUGUGCAUCUAUCAUGACAUGUUCUCCAAAGCAAAAAAUGCGAUUUAAUUAAGUCCUGAAGGUAUUGGUUUGAAUAUAGAAUUACAUCAUUACUGUAUUUUUACAACUAUCGUAGGUUUAUACAAUUGUAACCCCUUAUUUUAGGUACUUACAUUUUUUAAACUCAAUUCAUAUGUAGUGAUUUGUAUUUAUUUUUUUACUUUUUGUUUCUUCAGAUAAAAUAUAUGCGUAGUGAUGUCCUAUGUAUUUUUUGUGGUAUUAUAAUAUAUACAAUUGAUUUAGUGAAGGCGGAGGCACUUGGUCAUGGCUAGAAGGGACCCAGCGUUUGUCAAAUUAACGUCAGAUUUGAUUUAUUUUAAGCAGGUUAGGAGAACACACUGCAGGUUAGGAGAACACGCUGCAGGUUAGGAGAACACGCUGCAGGUUAGGAGAACACGCUGCAGGUUAGGAGAACACGCUGCAGGUUAGGAGGACACGCCGCAGGUUCAGGUUAGGAGAACACGCUGCAGGUUAGGAGAACACGCCGCAGGUUAGGAGAACACGCUGCAGGUUAGGAGAACACGCUGCAGGUUAGGAGAACACGCUGCAGGUUAGGAGAACACGCUGCAGGUUAG
This 1073-nucleotide long non-coding RNA is filed under the name Salmo salar (Atlantic salmon). RNAcentral describes it as "lncRNA (ENSSSAG00000100575.1)". Lineage: Eukaryota; Metazoa; Chordata; Actinopteri; Salmoniformes; Salmonidae. The record is from RNAcentral.